AGUCGCUCUGGCGCACGUGAAUAAUUUAGCUUGUUUUGACCGCGACAGAGAUAAAGAGGGGGAAAAAACCCAUCAGUGUCCGUUUGAUAGCAGCCACGCCGAACAUUUCGGAGAGUUUCUGAAUGUUCAAGACGUUCAUUACGGUCACAGAAUGCCGCCAUUGCCUAACUAUGCGCGAACGGCUGCGUUGUAAGGACGUUACAGCGAACCGAGCCGCACGUUUUGGCGAAGCGGCUCAGCUCAAGACCGACUCCAGCUGGCGUAACAACUAACCUCCCAGCCGACUGGUGAAAUUGGAUUCUGCCGUCUAACGUUUCACUCGGCUUGCUCUCGCAAUUAUUUAGCAAGCAGUGAGCCGUCCAAGAGUUUAUGGAGGCAACUUUGACGAGACCUUUUCACGGAAACUAUCAAAUACAUGACAAUUGAGCUGAACCAAACCGUAGAAGAUAGUGCUUGUUUGUGUAUUACACGUAGGUGUACAUACAUCUGAAGCAAAUAAUAAUAAUAAAGAUCCAAGAUCUUUGGAGAAAUGUUCUACAAUUUAAACACAUUCAACUGUAACCUUAUGGGAACGUUUUCCAUAAGGUUUAGGAGUAUUUCUUCCGAAUGUAUAUUAUUGAGGUCAGACACUGACGUGGGAAGAGAAGACGUAUUCAGAGUUUGUCCUCUGAUUCAUCCCAACAGCUGAGAGCGGCGGCCACGUUUCAUUCCACCCGACAGAGCAGGAACAAGAGACCUCAAAAUUGCUGGAGCCGUUUGUUCCAGGAUUGAGAAAUUUGCUGGAGGGAAAAUCUGCUACCGGAGACUCUGAGCUGUCAUGAGGGGCUGAUCUGAGAGGAGCUUCUGGAAGCAGCUUGCAAACAGAUUCUGGGAGGAAAUUGAAAUAUCUGCAUUACACUCCCACCUACAAAGGAAGACCAGCUCGCAGAAAAAGAGCGUCGCCACCAGGUUCCUGUGGAUGGCGUGCAGGUUGGAGCGCAGCCGGUGCAGGAGGCACAGCAGGAUGAAG
Molecule: long non-coding RNA, 1009 nt
Organism: Poeciliopsis prolifica (blackstripe livebearer)
Lineage: Eukaryota; Metazoa; Chordata; Actinopteri; Cyprinodontiformes; Poeciliidae
Exons: 4
Source: RefSeq, a predicted model, not a curated record